UUGAGGCGGAGUUCUGUCAUACACUCGGACUGUGCUACCUGGGGUCAGUGCAUCACAGAACUUUGUCUCGAG
Molecule: microRNA precursor, 72 nt
Filed under: Alligator mississippiensis (American alligator)
Lineage: Eukaryota; Metazoa; Chordata; Crocodylia; Alligatoridae
Description: mir-148/mir-152 microRNA precursor family
Rfam family: mir-148/mir-152 microRNA precursor family
About the family: The hairpin precursors (represented here) are predicted based on base pairing and cross-species conservation -- their extents are not known. In this case the mature sequence is excised from the 3' arm of the hairpin.
Source: Rfam by way of RNAcentral